This 255-nucleotide ribosomal RNA is filed under the name uncultured bacterium. RNAcentral's name for it is "partial 16S ribosomal RNA". It matches the Rfam family "Bacterial small subunit ribosomal RNA", at positions 524 to 777 of the family's 1533-position model. The record is from RNAcentral.
UACGUAGGCAGCGGCGUUGUUCGGAUUUACUGGGCGUAAAGGGCGCGUAGGCGGUCGUGACAAGUCACUUGUGAAAUCUCCGGGCUUAACUCGGAACGGUCAAGUGAUACUGUCGGACUAGAGUACAGAAGGGGCAACUGGAAUUCUCGGUGUAGCGGUGAAAUGCGUAGAUAUCGAGAGGAACACCUGCGGCGAAGGCGGGUUGCUGGGCUGAUACUGACGCUGAGGCGACGAAAGCUAGGGGAGCAAACGGGG